This 429-nucleotide ribosomal RNA is filed under the name Vibrio parahaemolyticus. RNAcentral describes it as "partial 23S ribosomal RNA". It matches the Rfam family "Bacterial large subunit ribosomal RNA", at positions 1210 to 1639 of the family's 2925-position model. Lineage: Bacteria; Pseudomonadati; Pseudomonadota; Gammaproteobacteria; Vibrionales; Vibrionaceae. The record is from RNAcentral.
GUGCUUUUGCACAUUGGGUAGGGGAGCGUUCUGUAAGCGGUUGAAGGUGUGUGGUAACGCAUGCUGGACGUAUCAGAAGUGCGAAUGCUGACAUGAGUAACGAUAAAGGGGGUGAAAAACCUCCUCGCCGGAAGACCAAGGGUUCCUGUCCAACGUUAAUCGGGGCAGGGUAAGUCGACCCCUAAGGCGAGGCCGAAAGGCGUAGUCGAUGGGAAACGGGUUAAUAUUCCCGUACUUCUUACAAUUGCGAUGGGGGGACGGAGAAGGCUAGGUGGGCCUGGCGACGGUUGUCCAGGUUCAAGUGCGUAGGCUUAAGAGUUAGGUAAAUCCGGCUCUUUUUAAGGCUGAGACACGACGUCGAGCACCUACGGGUGUGAAGUCAUUGAUGCCAUGCUUCCAGGAAAAGCCUCUAAGCUUCAGAUUGUAAGG